CAGGUACGGUGCGGGCCUUUCCCAGGCGUGGCUGAGGAUUUGAGGUGAAGUAGAAUGGAUGCCACGGGCAGCGUCACAGCCACAAUGCUGGAGCGUGGCUUUGGCACAGUACAGGUGAUAAAGGCAACUGUGGUGACUGAAGGGAGAUCAGCGCGGAUGCGGCUGCCAUUGAGGAUGGCUCUUGAGGAGCGAUGGUGAUGCCCAGCAUUUGAACAAUGCUGAGCAGUGUUCUGAGUGGGCCCAAGGGAGCUGGAGGAAGAAAGUGGCAUGCCCCAAGAAGGCGUGGAGCCUUGCGGGGAGCAGGUCGCUCACAUCCAGGAGGAGCAGGAUGAGGUGAGCAUCAGUUCGGGAGCGGACGUAGA
Molecule: long non-coding RNA, 362 nt
Organism: Dromaius novaehollandiae (emu)
Lineage: Eukaryota; Metazoa; Chordata; Aves; Casuariiformes; Dromaiidae
Exons: 5
Source: RefSeq, a predicted model, not a curated record